RNAcentral lists this ribosomal RNA (481 nucleotides) under Veillonella dispar. RNAcentral describes it as "bacterial SSU rRNA". It matches the Rfam family "Bacterial small subunit ribosomal RNA", at positions 28 to 479 of the family's 1533-position model. The record is from RNAcentral. Lineage: Bacteria; Bacillati; Bacillota; Negativicutes; Veillonellales; Veillonellaceae.
GACGAACGCUGGCGGCGUGCUUAACACAUGCAAGUCGAACGAAGAGCGAUGGAAGCUUGCUUCUAUCAAUCUUAGUGGCGAACGGGUGAGUAACGCGUAAUCAACCUGCCCUUCAGAGGGGGACAACAGUUGGAAACGACUGCUAAUACCGCAUACGAUCUGACCUCGGCAUCGAGGAUAGAUGAAAGGUGGCCUCUAUUUAUAAGCUAUCACUGAAGGAGGGGAUUGCGUCUGAUUAGCUAGUUGGAGGGGUAACGGCCCACCAAGGCGAUGAUCAGUAGCCGGUCUGAGAGGAUGAACGGCCACAUUGGGACUGAGACACGGCCCAGACUCCUACGGGAGGCAGCAGUGGGGAAUCUUCCGCGAUGGACGAAAGUCUGACGGAGCAACGCCGCGUGAGUGAUGACGGCCUUCGGGUUGUAAAGCUCUGUUAAUCGGGACGAAAGGCCUUCUUGCGAAUAGUUAGAAGGAUGACGGUACC